This 1054-nucleotide long non-coding RNA is filed under the name Mus musculus (house mouse). RNAcentral's name for it is "lincRNA-EC102". The record is from RNAcentral. Lineage: Eukaryota; Metazoa; Chordata; Mammalia; Rodentia; Muridae.
GUUGGAAAUAACCACCAAUAAAGGAGCCAGUCAAGAGAGUCCAAGGUAAACUAGAAAGCAAGUGGCCAGUAAAUCCGAAGACCAGAAGCUUCCAAGGUGGGGGAGGCUCAUGAUCCAGAGCCCCAAACGAUUACCUGACUUGCAAGCAAGCAACCAUUGAGACCCAGGAUGAAGUCAGGUAUGGGGGAUGGUGCAACUAAUCCCAGCACCAUGGAUAUAGAGGAAUAAGGAUCAGCAGUUAAAAGGAUAGCUUUUGCUGCAUAACAAGUUCAGAUCCAGCCUGGGCUACAUGAGACCCUGACAAAAAAUAAGAACCCACAAAGCUAACGUGUGAGAAUGAUUUGCUCUCUGUAUACAGAGGAUAGAGACAGUGUCUACAACACCUCACCUACCUCUGUUAGUGUUUGUCUUGAGGAGACUAAGAAAUCUAAAGGUGCUAAGAGUCACCCAUAGUCCAUAAUCCAUCUCGCCUCUGCCUUAAAGGAAGCGCAUCAAGUAUGAGCAUAGAAUACAGAUGUGUGUUCAUCCAGCUACAAAAGAGCCUUCAUUCUAAGAACUGCUUUGGCAUCUAACAGUGGUCAAUAGACCAAAAAGCUUCCCAGCCUCUAGACACAAAGAAGUGUCAUAGAAAGAUAGUUUUGACUCAGCACCAGGUUGACUGUCUUCCCUUAUUGCUUUUUGUCUUUUGAUAUAAUAUCCCUUGAACGUUAUCUAAAUAGUAGAGAAAUGAGCAAUUGACAAAAAGGAAGAAUUUGGAAGAAAUAUGCAAAUGCCCCACUUGCGCAAAACUUCAAAGUACUGAAGCAUUACACUGGGAAUCAAAGGAAAUGUCUAGACGCCAGUGAAGAUGCUGCGUAGACUGACCACGAUUGUUCUGGGGCCGUUCCUUGCAGCAGGAGUGGGGGAAAGAAGUAACAGGGACAAGGAAGAUGCAAAUGUAUGUGAAUAUAUGUGAUAUUCCAUUGAAUAACAGAAUAUGCAGAAUGUAGAAGAGCUCUCUCCGUUAAUCUCUACAACCCUAAGUGUUAGGGUCCGAGAUUCACAGAAGAGGGGG